UUCCCUCUGGCUCAGUUGGUAAAGAAUCUGCCUGCAAUACAGAAGAUCUGGGUUCGAUCCCUGGGUUGGGAA
This 72-nucleotide transfer RNA is filed under the name Ovis aries (sheep). It matches the Rfam family "tRNA". Rfam says of the family: Transfer RNA (tRNA) molecules are approximately 80 nucleotides in length. The record is from Rfam by way of RNAcentral. Lineage: Eukaryota; Metazoa; Chordata; Mammalia; Artiodactyla; Bovidae.